GUGCUGGCCCCGGCAGCACCGACACUAAAAUUGGAAUGAUACAGAGAUUAGCACGGCCCCCGUGCAAGGAUGACACGCAAAUAGACGCAUCACAGGGGUUCUUC
RNAcentral lists this small nuclear RNA (104 nucleotides) under Chinchilla lanigera (long-tailed chinchilla). Lineage: Eukaryota; Metazoa; Chordata; Mammalia; Rodentia; Chinchillidae. The record is from RNAcentral.